RNAcentral lists this ribosomal RNA (497 nucleotides) under uncultured bacterium. Its description in RNAcentral is "partial 16S ribosomal RNA". It matches the Rfam family "Bacterial small subunit ribosomal RNA", at positions 28 to 507 of the family's 1533-position model. The record is from RNAcentral.
GAUGAACGCUGGCGGCGUGCCUAAUACAUGCAAGUCGAGCGAACGGACGAGAAGCUUGCUUCUCUGAUGUUAGCGGCGGACGGGUGAGUAACACGUGGAUAACCUACCUAUAAGACUGGGAUAACUUCGGGAAACCGGAGCUAAUACCGGAUAAUAUUUUGAACCGCAUGGUUCAAAAGUGAAAGACGGUCUUGCUGUCACUUAUAGAUGGAUCCGCGCUGCAUUAGCUAGUUGGUAAGGUAACGGCUUACCAAGGCAACGAUGCAUAGCCGACCUGAGAGGGUGAUCGGCCACACUGGAGCUGAGACACGGUCCAGACUCCUACGGGAGGCAGCAGUAGGGAAUCUUCCGCAAUGGGCGAAAGCCUGACGGAGCAACGCCGCGUGAGUGAUGAAGGUCUUCGGAUCGUAAAACUCUGUUAUUAGGGAAGAACAUAUGUGUAAGUAACUGUGCACAUCUUGACGGUACCUAAUCAGAAAGCCACGGCUGACUACGUG